Molecule: ribosomal RNA, 253 nt
Filed under: uncultured bacterium
Lineage: Bacteria
Description: partial 16S ribosomal RNA
Rfam family: Bacterial small subunit ribosomal RNA
Source: RNAcentral
UACGUAGGGGGCAAGCGUUAUCCGGAUUUACUGGGUGUAAAGGGAGCGUAGACGGCAGCGCAAGUCUGGAGUGAAAUGCCGGGGCCCAACCCCGGAACUGCUUUGGAAACUGUGCAGCUGGAGUGCAGGAGAGGUAAGCGGAAUUCCUAGUGUAGCGGUGAAAUGCGUAGAUAUUAGGAGGAACACCAGUGGCGAAGGCGGCUCACUGGACUGUAACUGACGUUGAGGCUCGAAAGCGUGGGGAGCAAACAGG